AAGCCUGAAAAAGAAUCAGGCCAGGCAAACUCUUUUCUGGCAGAAAAUAUGGCCAGAGAACAGAAAGAGAUGAGUUUGCCUUGCACUCACCUGAGCUGACUGCAGAAAGAAUCAGGCUUUAAUGUUCAAAGAAGUGGAAAACCAGCACUAUGCUACGCUGAAUAAACCUGAAGGGGCAGUAUCUCACUGUUGAGGAAAAACUGAGAACACCAUGACAUUUCAACAUUUUGUUGACAAUAAAAGAUUCACAGAAUAACUGACAUUUUACACAGUCUAAUUGAUAAUUGGUUAUUUAAAAAACAAACAAACAAGCAAACAACAAGAAAAUGAGAGAGAGGAGCUAUCAUUUCCUAGUUAAACAGGGUGGUGGGCCCUGAGGCCUUCUCCCACUGCUGUCCCUGUACAGGCCAGCUUUAAGCAGUAGGCCGGGAUUUCCAGGCCUUCUUCCGCACCAGGAACGUUGCUUCAUGACAUUAAAUUAAAAUUAAAAAAUAAAAAUAUACA
This is a long non-coding RNA of Cygnus olor (mute swan), 504 nucleotides long. RefSeq lists it as uncharacterized. The transcript is spliced from 3 exons. The record is from RefSeq and is a predicted model, not a curated record. NCBI's taxonomy places the organism in Eukaryota, Metazoa, Chordata, Aves, Anseriformes, Anatidae.